UAAAAAGUAGGUAAUUUAGGUAGUAUUAGAUGACUUGAAACUUAAAAAAUUUGGCGGUGUUUUAAUCUUAUUAGAGGAACCUGUUUUAUAAUCGAUAAUACUCGACAAAUCUUACUUUGAUUAAUGACUUGUAUAUCGUUGUGAUAAUAAUAUUUUAUAAUUAUUAUUAGGGGUAAUUUUAUUUUUAAUAUCAGAUCAAGGUUCAGUUUAUGUCUAAGUAAAAAAUAGGUUACAAUAUAAAAAUAUAAUACGAAGUUUAUGCUUAAAAAGUAAAUGAAGGUGGAUUUAAAAGUAUUUUUAUAGUAAUAUGUUAAUUUGAACUAGCUCUAAAACAUGC
RNAcentral lists this ribosomal RNA (337 nucleotides) under Centruroides baergi. Its description in RNAcentral is "partial 12S ribosomal RNA". The record is from RNAcentral. Lineage: Eukaryota; Metazoa; Arthropoda; Arachnida; Scorpiones; Buthidae.